UCGUUACCUUCAGAUAUGCAAAAAGCUGCGCCUUUAGUUCCAGCUUUAAAGUCAAAUUGGCUUAUGAUGCAUGUAAGUAUAAUGAUGUUAAGUUAUGCCACAUUAAUUGCAGGUUCAUUAUUGGCAAUCACUUUUCUUUGUAUGGGGUUUAAAGCAGCUAAAAUGAGUUCAUUAUCUACAACAAUAGAUAAUUUAAGUUAUCGUUUGUUAGGGAUUGGGUUUCCCUUAUUAACUCUAGGUAUUUUAUCUGGAGCUAUUUGGGCCAAUGAAGCCUGGGGUUCCUACUGGAGUUGGGAUCCUAAAGAAACCUGGGCAUUAAUUACUUGGUUAAUCUUUGCUAUUUAUUUUCAUUUUAGAAUUAUUCGUGGUUGGGAAGGUCGCCGACCUGCAAUUAUUGCAUCAUUUGGUUUUGUAAUUGUUUGGGUUUGUUAUUUAGGAGUUAAUUUAUUAGGUAAAGGACUUCAUAGUUACGGUUGGUUUUAAAACUAAAUGGGCUUAAGCCCAUUUAGUUUUUUAGCUAGCUUCUUACAUAUAAAUCAUCAUGUAUAUACAAAUUUUUUGAGUUUCCAGCAAUUUGUUCUUGUACGUAACUAAAAGUUGGGUCACCUUUUCCUUUAUUUAAAAUAGGCUGCGCUUUUAGUAAAGUAAAAUAAUCUUUUUUAAUCUGCUUUAAACGAUUUAUUUGUUCUAAAGACUUUUUCAGUGAAAAAGGUGUUCGAAGAUCUUGUCGUUUUUCAUUAAUAAAUUUUGAUAAUUUAUUAAAAUAAUGAAUAUUAUAUCUAAAAUAUGCGUCUUGUGUUUGAGUUUCAGUUAGUGGGGGUUUAUCAUUCCAAAUUCGUCUUUGUUUAAAAGUUUCAACAGGGAAAUGUCUAGAAAUAGGUAAAUUUCUUUCUCUAUUUCGAAUACUAGAAUCAAACCCAGUAAAAUGACGAACAACCGACCCUCCCGGGGUAGAGUCCACUCCUAGUGGAGUCGACCCCACCCCGUCGGGGUAGCUACUCCCCUGGAGGGGAGUCGACUCCCUCUGCCCACCCGUGGGCAGGGUGGUCGACUCCACAGAGUGGACUCCACCCCGUGGGGUCGAAGAAUUAUUUUCAAUGGAAGACUCUUUCGAAAAUAAUUUUAAGCGACCAACUGAACUAGCAAAUGUCUCGGCUGGAUAUUGUAUAAACAAAUGCCAAGUAUAUUUUCCUGUGACAUUAAAAAUUAAACUUAAACCUAAAAUAAUAAGCCCUCGGUUUAAAGGUCUCAUAAAUGUUCCAUAAGGUUUUAAUGAAGUUACUUGAAACCAAUUUUUUAAAAAUAAAAAAAUAAAACCAAAUAAACAACUAAAACCAAAUAAACCUAUAAAAAACCCAGAAAGGUAAGCUAUAUUUGCUAUUGGAAACCAACUUUGUGUUGUUUCAACGGAUAAGGGAAAUUGGGUUGAAUUAAACGCUACUGCUGGAUUUAAAAACAUUAGAACAAAAUGAAUACCAAAAAUUUGUAUUAAAGUUUGAGUUUGAUCAAUAGAAAUUUUUUGUAAACGAUAAUCUUGAGAAAAUUCAAAAAGAAUAUUACAUGUUAGCGCUAUACCUAUAAAAUAUAGAACAGGUUCCCAAUCGUACCAAAAUUGAAUUAAAUCUCGAAAUCCAAAAAGAAUAAAGAAAAGAAAACAUGUUUCACCUAAUGCUGUGGCUAAAUAACAUGUUAGUCCAGCAGGUAUACCUUGUACUAAAAUUCUUCGUAAACAAAUAAAUAAUGGAGGUGAAACCGGAAGAGCUGAGAAAAAAGCAUGUGUAAGUCCAAUAAAAAAAAUUUCAAAGGAUUGUAAAGAAAAGAUUUCUUCAUUAGAUGUUGAGAGAUAAGAAAUAUCUACUUCAAAAAUAUUCAUGUAUAUUUGUAAUUUAAUUAUUUUUUGUAACUGCUGUACAAUUACAACCCGGGGUAUCUGGUUACCCAAAAACCCCUGGUGUAUUUAAUUAGGGUAAAUAAAUCCUUUAGAAUUACCAGUUAAAAUAGAUUUUGCUAAAGAUAAUGCUUUUAAUGACUCUUUAGCAGUUUUUUGCUUCCAAGUACUCUUUCGCAUAUUUUUCUUUGAUUUUGAAGUGCGUUUUUUAGGAACAGCCAUAAUUUUUUAGUUAACUACUACAUUUGUGUAUGUAUUUUAGCAAAAAUUUUAAAUUUUGUUAAAUUUGGGCUAUAAUAAAUAAAAAGCUAAAUUAAAAUGGAUAUUGAAAAUUUAAUGUUAUUGGGAGCCUUAAUUUUCUGUAUAGGGCUUUAUGGUUUUUUAACAAGUCGUAAUGUAGUUAGAAUCUUAAUUUCACUUGAAUUAAUACUAAAUGCUAUUAAUAUCAAUUUAGUUUCGAUUUCAACGUUUAUGGAUUCCCAAGAAUUGAAAGGACAGGUUUUUGCUUUAUUUAUUAUUGCAAUUGCCGCUGCGGAAUCAGCUAUAGCUUUAGCUAUUAUUUUAACUUUAUAUAGAAAUAAAAAUUCUAUUGAAUUAGAACAAUUUAAUUUAUUAAAAUGGUAACAAUUAAGUAAUUAAUUACUUUAAUUACUUAAAAAAAACAUUAAAAAUGUUUGCCUCAAGCAGCGCUGCUCAAGCAGCGCUCAGCAAAAAAGAUACCUUCUUGGCGACUCCACAGAGUGGACUCUACCCCAGCGGGGUGGGGUCGACCCACCCACAGCUUGCACGUGCGUGAAACAGCUCGGAAAAGCACUUAGGCGGCCUAGAUUAGCGGCUUUAGCACCUAUGUGGCUAGCGCGGCCUUAGAGAGAGAUCUAUAUUAUUUUUCUUGUAAUAUUAAUGGAGGUUAAAUUAUUAACAGGGUUAAUUUAUUAACCAGGCGCCCUGGAGUGCCUGUGGGCUGUGUUUUUUUUAAUCUAAGUUCAAACUAAAAUAUA
This 2886-nucleotide ribosomal RNA is filed under the name Cymbomonas tetramitiformis. The record is from RNAcentral. Lineage: Eukaryota; Viridiplantae; Chlorophyta; Pyramimonadophyceae; Pyramimonadales; Pyramimonadaceae.